AAUCUUCCGCAAUGGGCGCAAGCCUGACGGAGCAACGCCGCGUGAGUGAGGACGUUUUUCGGAACGUAAAGCUCUGUUGUACCCGACGAAGGGCCUUCUAUGAACAAGAGGGGUUAAUGACGGUAGGGUACGAGGAAGCCACGGCUAACUACGUGCCAGCAGCCGCGGUAAUACGUAGGAGGCAAGCGUUGUCCGGAAUUAUUGGGCGUAAAGCGCAUGUAGGCGGUGGAUUAAGUCUGUCGAGAAACUGCGGGGCUCAGCCCCGUAUGGCGAUGGAAACUGGUUUACUCGAGUGCAGGAGAGGAAAGGGGAACUCCCAGUGUAGCGGUGAAAUGCGUAGAUAUUGGGAAGAACACCGGUGGCGAAGGCGCCUUUCUGGACUGUGUCUGACGCUGAGAUGCGAAAGCCAGGGUAGCGAAC
Molecule: ribosomal RNA, 420 nt
Filed under: uncultured bacterium
Lineage: Bacteria
Description: partial 16S ribosomal RNA
Rfam family: Bacterial small subunit ribosomal RNA
Source: RNAcentral